This 253-nucleotide ribosomal RNA is filed under the name uncultured bacterium. RNAcentral describes it as "partial 16S ribosomal RNA". It matches the Rfam family "Bacterial small subunit ribosomal RNA", at positions 524 to 776 of the family's 1533-position model. The record is from RNAcentral.
UACGGAGGGUGCAAGCGUUAUCCGGAUUUAUUGGGUUUAAAGGGUGCGCAGGCGGAAUAAUAAGUCAGUGGUGAAAUCUCUCGGCUCAACCGAGAAACUGCCAUUGAUACUGUUAUUCUUGAGUAUAGUUGUAGUGGGCGGAAUAUAGCAUGUAGCGGUGAAAUGCUUAGAUAUGCUAUAGAACACCGAUCGCGAAGGCAGCUCACUAAGCUAUAACUGACGCUCAGGCACGAAAGCGUGGGGAGCAAACAGG